GCUUCUUCCUGAGCUAGAGGAUCCUUUUGUAAAUCCUGAAAUCUCCAAAAAUUUGAUGGUUUUGAAACCAGUAUCUCCUCUGAGACCCAAACCACGGAGUGCUUUAUAAUAUCUGCACACAGAUCCUGACAGGCUGCUGAAAAUGUCUCCAUUUCAUUUGAGCCUCAUGACAUGCUACUUAAACUUGCAAAAAGAUCCUUACUUAUUCAAAUAUUAUGAUGGACAGGAAUGGGGUUACAGUGACCGAACAGGAGAAAGGACUUCUGAAGUUGAGAUGCAGCAACAGAGAAGUGUGAGAUGGAACAGAAGCUAUUGGUAAUAGCAGAAAAAGAUAUGGAGCACCAUAAAGCUAUAGAGCAUGGAAAUACAGAGUUAUAGAAC
This 381-nucleotide long non-coding RNA is filed under the name Anser brachyrhynchus (Pink-footed goose). RNAcentral's name for it is "lncRNA (ENSABRG00000013341.1)". The record is from RNAcentral. Lineage: Eukaryota; Metazoa; Chordata; Aves; Anseriformes; Anatidae.